This 445-nucleotide ribosomal RNA is filed under the name uncultured bacterium. RNAcentral's name for it is "partial 16S ribosomal RNA". It matches the Rfam family "Bacterial small subunit ribosomal RNA", at positions 354 to 796 of the family's 1533-position model. The record is from RNAcentral.
GUGAGGAAUAUUGGACAAUGGGCGCAAGCCUGAUCCAGCCAUGCCGCGUGCAGGAAGACGCAUCUAUGGUGUGUAAACUGCUUUUGUACGGGAAGAAACACUCCCUCGUGAGGGAGCUUGACGGUACCGUAAGAAUAAGGAUCGGCUAACUCCGUGCCAGCAGCCGCGGUAAUACGGAGGAUCCAAGCGUUAUCCGGAAUCAUUGGGUUUAAAGGGUCCGUAGGCGGUUUAAUAAGUCAGUGGUGAAAGCCCAUCGCCCAACGAUGGAACGGCCAUUGAUACUGUUAGACUUGAAUUACAAGGAAGUAACUAGAAUAUGUAGUGUAGCGGUGAAAUGCUUAGAUAUUACAUGGAAAACCAAUUGCGAAGGCAGGUUACUACUUGUGGAUUGACGCUGAUGGACGAAAGCGUGGGGAGCGAACAGGAUUAGAUACCCUGGUAGUCC